CUACGGGUGGCAGCAGUGGGGAAUAUUGCACAAUGGGCGCAAACCUGAUGCAGCCAUGCCGCGUGUAUGAAGAAGGCCUUCGGGUUGUAAAGUACUUUCAGCGGGGAGGAAGGGAGUAAAGUUAAUACCUUUGCUCAUUGACGUUACCCGCAGAAGAAGCACCGGCUAACUCCGUGCCAGCAGCCGCGGUAAUACGGGGGGUGCAAGCGUUAAUCGGAAUUACUGGGCGUAAAGCGCACGCAGGCGGUUUGUUAAGUCAGAUGUGAAAUCCCCGGGCUCAACCUGGGAACUGCAUCUGAUACUGGCAAGCUUGAGUCUCGUAGAGGGGGGUAGAAUUCAAGGUGUAGCGGUGAAAUGCGUAGAGAUCUGGAGGAAUACCGGUGGCGAAGGCGGCCCCCUGGACGAAGACUGACGCUCAGGUGCGAAAGCGUGGGGAGCAAACAGGAUUAGAUACCCGGGUAGUC
Molecule: ribosomal RNA, 464 nt
Filed under: uncultured bacterium
Lineage: Bacteria
Description: partial 16S ribosomal RNA
Rfam family: Bacterial small subunit ribosomal RNA
Source: RNAcentral